UGUUGCUCGUGGUGGGAGGCAGGACAGUGGAAGGUUCAGAACCGAAUGGAAUUUGGUAUACAGUCGGUGAUGGAUUACUUUGCUCGCCAUGUUUUCCUUUCAAUGGCCACCAUUUCGGGUAACCAAUGACCUCAAAAUAUUUUUCACGUUGAUGUCCCUGCUGGCCACAAGCUUCACAGACGGGUAUUUCACUUGACAGACACGCCAUGG
This 210-nucleotide long non-coding RNA is filed under the name Olea europaea (common olive). RNAcentral's name for it is "long non-coding RNA (OEUR_LNC006813)". The record is from RNAcentral. Lineage: Eukaryota; Viridiplantae; Streptophyta; Magnoliopsida; Lamiales; Oleaceae.